This is a long non-coding RNA of Cercocebus atys (sooty mangabey), 2598 nucleotides long. RefSeq lists it as uncharacterized. The record is from RefSeq and is a predicted model, not a curated record. NCBI's taxonomy places the organism in Eukaryota, Metazoa, Chordata, Mammalia, Primates, Cercopithecidae. The transcript has 3 exons.
UCCACCCACCUUGGCCUCUCAGAAUGCUGGGAUUACAGGCGUGAGCCACUGCACCUGACCAGCAUUUGCACAUUUUAGAGGUGACUGUUCUGGGUGACAAAUCACUCCCCAGGGACCACAACAUCAGUUUGACAUGUAAAAUGGGGAAAUGGAACUUAGCCCGUUUAAUAGACAUUUGCUCACAAGUUGCCUGUUUCACCAGGAUGACUGCAUGAAGGAACAUAUAGUUAGGAGGUUGCUGGGUUAGAUCAGCUAAUGCUUCUAAAUGGAAGGGAGUUUCAAUGGGGUGAGAGUCAUGGGGUGGUGACAUGGACUAAACUAAGCCCCUCCUGGGGGCCAGGUUAACCGGGAAUGUUUGUCAGUGACAGCACAUCUACGACCACGGCCAGGAUGGAGGCCCACAGGGAGAGUGGGGAGAACGGACAUGGCGAGGCGUGAAGGCUGACCUCAGAAACACACUGGAUGAGCUGUGGCUCCUUUUGCUGGGAAAGAAAACACAAGCGAGAUUAGAAAAUGGCAGUGAGUUGCAGGUCAAAAAGGAGAUGAAGGUGAGAUCAGGAUGUCAACACAGGAAGGCAGAAUGUGCCCUCAGCAGGCCCCACAGGGGUGAGUGUGGAGACCCCUGUCCCUGUUCCAGAGUGGUGUGAGUCAGGGGUAUGCGUGCAGUUAAACAUACAAGAUGCGGUGUGUGCACCAGGCGCCAGUUAUUGUGUCCACUGGGGGACGUUUGUUUCCAGUGAUCAGAUGCUCACGACCCCCUUCAGCACUCCUGAGAGGCCAGUGUGCUGCUCCGCUCUCACACCUGCCUGAUUGGUGGCCCGUGUAUGGCAGAUGCACCUGACAACGAUAACUCAACACGCCCUGAGAAUGACUCCAUGGUCUAAGAAGAAUGUCUGUUCAGAGUUCUGAGCUAAGCAGUCCAGGAGUGGCCAACCAGGAGGUUCAUUUCCUAUCCAUGAGGAACAUCCGAGCCCCUGGCCCACCCUGUGGCAGGUUGCUGGGGCCGGGUGCUAAGUGAAAAUGCUACAUAAACUGCAUGCCUUUUAUGAGAGGUAAUGGUUCCCCGUCCCACCUGCUGCCACUGGACCGUCCCUGAAUGCAAUGCUGCAUAGACAACAGAGCCAAAAGUGUGGAAGAUACACUGAGUAACAAAAUUGAAUUUUAGAAAAUACUGAGAUAAAUUAGAACAUUGUGCUCAGUCUGUCAGCAUUCAAUUUAUUAAAGACAAAAUGUGAGUUCUUGGUUUAAGUUCACAAAACAAGCAGUGCAAGUAUGGAGCACAGCACGUCAAAGGAAAACUUUUUAUUUGUUUUCGGUAAACUCCAUUUGAAUCAAGACAAUGACCGUGCCCCACACUGUCUCCCCUUCACCACUGUGUGUUCAGGCAACCAGGAUGAUGGAGGGACUGGCUCUUUCUGGUGUCUGAGGAAUCUUGGAAGGCCUGGGAACAUUUAGCCUGGAGAAGAGGAGAAUUCACAGAAUGGUGGCUGCUGUCACAAGUCUGAAGAGCGGUCAGCAAGAGGAGGGAUUGGUAUCAGGACCUGCAGAGGAAGAGACUCACUGCCACCCAGUCUAACAAACAACCUCCUGGAGAAACAGCUACACAGGUGGUCAGGAGCGCAGGCUUCAAAGUGAGACAGACCUGGGCUUACAUGCCCCCUCCACCUCCUAACCUCUGAACAUGAGUCCCCCCCGCGUGUGAAAGAUGAGGAUGCAGCAGCUCCCUCAGAGUUCCCAAAGCCUUCGAUGAGAGGUGCACUACAGGGGCUCAGCAAAUGCCAGACGAAGUCGGUGCCAGACUGUCAGCUGCUGUGAGCUUAUGAUCUCCCUUCAGCAGAGCUGCCCAGGAAGCCGUACCUGUUCCAGAAGAGCCUUCCAAAGUUGAGGCUCUCCAGUUCCAGUUAAGCUGAUUUAGGAAGACUGCACAAGUGGAAACACCACAUGCAACUAUUUGUGUUAUUAAUAAGAACAUGUUGACUUCAGUUGUUGACUGCCAGAUGGAUUUUUGCCUCAUAAAUAUUUUUGAGUGGAUUAUUACUGAAAUCUUGGGGUUCAGUCAGAAGACAACCAUCUACAUUUUUUCUGUAUUUCUUCUGGGGGCAUGAUUUGAUCCAGGGUGUGGCCAAAUCUACGUCACUGAAUCGUUCUACCGAGCUCCCCGGCUGUUACUGGGGAUGUUAAUUCAACAUUUUCAUGGUUUUCCGUUUUUAUGGUCAUUUGUGUAAAAUGGGGCCCAAGUGUUUGUCUUUUCCACUUGAAAAACUCAUCAUUGGUUCGUGGUAACUAAGUCAUUUAUGCUUCAAAGAAUGAUGCUGAGAAAGAAAAAAACUGUGACCACAGUCAAGGAUAUUAAUGAAUGAGCAUGAACUUAGCCCAUGUGCAUUCUGAAGUAUGGAGGGUGGGAGAAACAGUGACUCGCUGUUCCGCAGGGGCCGUUGGCUUACUCUCCAAUGUGGUGGUGGUGGUGUUUCUUUGUUUGUUUUUAACAUUUUUGGGUUUAGUACUUUAUAAUGCAUAUUUUGAAUUCAAAAAUGAAUUAUAGAGUGGCUAUGUCAGAGGAACUGACGGUCUUUGGGCUUUUUUUUUUUUUUUUUAAAU